Long non-coding RNA from Schistocerca piceifrons (Central American locust), 1315 nucleotides. RefSeq lists it as uncharacterized. The record is from RefSeq and is a predicted model, not a curated record. The transcript is spliced from 3 exons. Lineage: Eukaryota; Metazoa; Arthropoda; Insecta; Orthoptera; Acrididae.
UCCGUGACUGUGGUAAGAUUACACUAUGCUGGCAUUUUCCUUCGUAUUAUUUAGACCAGUGUCGCGUACAUCUUCUCUUUAGAUGCUCAAAUUACUUUGAAAACUUGGAAAUGUUUUACUGCAACGAGCUGCAUUCGUUCCCGAAAUGCUGGCCAACCUGGAGCUUAAGCUGGUAGUUGAGAAGCAGCCCUGAGGUGUCACAAAUACCGCCAGCACAACAGCUCGCUGUGGCAUGGUUGCCUAGAGCAGUGGUUGUUAGGGCAGGCAUCGAACAUGCAACCGAGCAGCAUUCCCGCCUUGCAAAGUGCCACUCCUGGCUGCACGAGAGGGGCAGAACCAGCUUCGACCACUGCAGUGCCGGCCACCGCACCACCGCAUACUAUCCGGCGUCUGGUGGUUCAAUCGAAAGAAGAGCAGCAACAGUCCAAGAUGGUGGUGGUGAACGCUCCAGCAUGCAGCCGUAUCCACAGCCUGGAUGCUCCCAGAGCACCUCGCCGUCGCCACCUCCACUUCAGAGACUUGUUGCCGCUCUAGCUCAGGAGGACACGCACAUCACCCGAUCUGCAUAGCCCAACGAGGAAAAGUUUCAACUUGUGACUAGAAAAGCAGUUUUGCCCAAUGAGUAUCUGGAUAGUUAGACAAAACUCUAUGAAACCAGGCUACCUGACAUACUCGGAUUUACCAGUACAAUACAGGUGAUGUUGUAACUAGUGCAGAUUAUGACCAUGCCGUGAAUGUAUGGGGCAAUUCAACAUUCCAGUUGGGUGAAUACACAUAACAUCUACGUGAUUACUCUGCUAUUCACAAUUAAGUGUCUGGCAGAGAGUUCAAUGAACAUUAUUAUACAUGGAGCAUGAUUAUACAUGGACACUGACGUGCACUUAUUUGCAGCUGUUUUUCAAAAACUACCGGAAUGUAUGCCCACGUACUCUCUGGAUCUCGCCUUGUGUUACACAGCACCUGGGUUGUCCUGGGAUACAAUACUCAAGAACUUUGGACAGAUGCUGAUAUGCUUCUUUUCACUGAGCGCGGGAUCCGAGGGGGACUCUGCCAAUGUGUCCAUAGAUACGCCAAGGCAAAUAACCCACAAAUGAGUGUGGGGAUCAACGCAUCCCUCGAUUCAAGUUAUAUUCCAUAUUUGGAUGUGAACAACUUACAUGGGCACACCAUGAUGCAGUGACUACCAGUUGAUGGGUUUCAAUGGGUUCCCGUAAACUAAUCAAAUGGUUCAGAUGGCUCUAAGCACUAUGGGACUUAACAUCUGAGGACAUCAGUCCCCUAGAACUUAGAACUACUUAAACCUAACUAACCUAAG